UCUGAUCGAUGCUUCUGUUUCUGGAUCUGUUUUUGUUCAUUACAACCUUCCCCAAUUCUGCCAGUCCUGCUGUGUCUCAGCUAGGAGAGCAGUGGGCCUCCUGUCCUGGGGAACUGAGAACCCAAUUGCUUUUAUGUUCAUGGCAUUGGCCUUCCUGUUUAUAUUCACCUUGAUAAAUUAAGACCCAGCAUAGAACAAGUGGCACCAGGUUUGAAGUCGGAGCUGAGACUGAAGUUCCUAUACAUUAUGUUUUUCAAAGGUAUGAUAAUUUUAUUAUUCCAAGGCCUGAUGAAAUAUCUACUCAACAUAUUUGCUCAAUUUAUAAUUGAUAAGAUGAUGCGAUUUAUACCAGAGAAAUUAAUAACAUAUGGAAAUAACAUGUUAAUGAUGGUUUUAAACCCAGUACUUAAUUUUGCAAUUGAGAAUAUUCUUCAGUUUGUAAUGAGAAAGAUUGCUGCUGUUAUUCAAACCAGGUUUGUUAAACCUAUGAAAAAUAUCACUUAUCUCUUUAAGAAGAAGAAUCUUCGUGAACCAAUCUGCACUAAUAUAAUUUAAAAAAAUAAUAAACAACGAGUGAAAGCAGUUAUCAGUACUGAAUGAACAACAUCUUGCCUUCCUGGAUGAGCUACAAUGAAACGAGUUGAUUCACUUAUAAUCAUAAAUAAAAACUUCUCUGAAUGAAACUAUUUCUUCGCAGCAUGGUAUCAUCCAUUUGCCAUCAUAAUUUUACUGAAUUUGAUUUUCUGACUAAAGAGAGAGACUUGAAACUGAAUAAAAUAUUUGUAAACA
This is a long non-coding RNA of Pipistrellus kuhlii (Kuhl's pipistrelle), 789 nucleotides long. RefSeq lists it as uncharacterized. The transcript has 2 exons. The record is from RefSeq and is a predicted model, not a curated record. NCBI's taxonomy places the organism in Eukaryota, Metazoa, Chordata, Mammalia, Chiroptera, Vespertilionidae.